GAAGAAGAAGAAGAAGAAGAAGCGCAGCGCGUGAGUAGAUAAGCCAAGUAUGGAAUAUGGCACGUCUGCUGUCUGCAAGCGUAUUUGUAGGUACAGCGCACGUGAUGUUAUUAUUAUUAUUAUGAAUAUUGUUAUUAUAAAAUUAAGGGUAAAACAUUAUUUUUUCAAAUUUCACAUGAAAAGUUUGAUUGCUUGUUUUCAUCGUGAGAUUCACAGAAAAAGCUGUCUAAUUAAUGAAUUAUGCAAGCAAGUUUCUUAUUUUUAACAAAU
RNAcentral lists this unclassified non-coding RNA (270 nucleotides) under Hevea brasiliensis (rubber tree). Lineage: Eukaryota; Viridiplantae; Streptophyta; Magnoliopsida; Malpighiales; Euphorbiaceae. The record is from RNAcentral.